This 495-nucleotide ribosomal RNA is filed under the name uncultured bacterium. RNAcentral describes it as "partial 16S ribosomal RNA". It matches the Rfam family "Bacterial small subunit ribosomal RNA", at positions 28 to 507 of the family's 1533-position model. The record is from RNAcentral.
GACGAACGCUGGCGGCGUGCCUAAUACAUGCAAGUAGAACGCUGAAGGAGGAGCUUGCUUCUCUGGAUGAGUUGCGAACGGGUGAGUAACGCGUAGGUAACCUGCCUGGUAGCGGGGGAUAACUAUUGGAAACGAUAGCUAAUACCGCAUAAGAGUAGAUGUCGCAUGACAUUUGCUUAAAAGGUGCAAUUGCAUCACUACCAGAUGGACCUGCGUUGUAUUAGCUAGUUGGUGAGGUAACGGCUCACCAAGGCAACGAUACAUAGCCGCCCUGAGAGGGGGAUCGGCCACACUGGGACUGAGACACGGCCCAGACUCCUACGGGAGGCAGCAGUAGGGAAUCUUCGGCAAUGGACGGAAGUCUGACCGAGCAACGCCGCGUGAGUGAAGAAGGUUUUCGGAUCGUAAAGCUCUGUUGUAAGAGAAGAACGAGUGUGAGAGUGGAAAGUUCACACUGUUACGGUAUCUUACCAGAAAGGGACGGCUAACUACGUG